GAUGAAGAACGCAGCGAAAUGCGAUAAGUAAUGUGAAUUGCAGAAUUCAGUGAAUCAUCGAAUCUUUGAACGCACAUUGCGCCCGCCAGUAUUCUGGCGGGCAUGCCUGUUCGAGCGUCAUUUACACCCUCAAGCCUAGCUUGGUGUUGGGCGUCUGUCCCGCCGUUUUCGCGCGCGGACUCGCCUCAAAGUCAUUGGCGGCGGUCGUGCCGGCCCCCUCGCGCAGCACAUUUGCGCUUCUCGGAGGCCCGGCGGAUCCGCGCUCCAGCAAGACCUUUCACGACUUGACCUCGGAUCAGGUAGGGAUACCCGCUGAACUUAAGCAUAUCAAUAAGCGGAGGA
This 342-nucleotide unclassified non-coding RNA is filed under the name soil metagenome. Its description in RNAcentral is "partial contains 5.8S ribosomal RNA, internal transcribed spacer 2, and large subunit ribosomal RNA". The stretch from base 1 to 120 matches the Rfam family "5.8S ribosomal RNA", at positions 35 to 154 of the family's 154-position model. The record is from RNAcentral.